RNAcentral lists this ribosomal RNA (488 nucleotides) under uncultured bacterium. Its description in RNAcentral is "partial 16S ribosomal RNA". It matches the Rfam family "Bacterial small subunit ribosomal RNA", at positions 28 to 523 of the family's 1533-position model. The record is from RNAcentral.
GACGAACGCUGGCGGCGUGCCUAACACAUGCAAGUCGAGCGGAGAAAAUUGAAAGCUUGCUUUUAGUUUUCUUAGCGGCGGACGGGUGAGUAACGCGUGGGCAACCUGCCUUUCACAGGGGGAUAACACAGGGAAACUUGUGCUAAUACCGCAUCAUACAGCGAGAAAGCAUUUUCUUGUUGUCAAAGGAGCAAUCCGGUGAAAGAUGGGCCCGCGUCCAAUUAGCUAGUUGGUGAUGUAACGGACCACCAAGGCGACGAUUGGUAGCCGAACUGAGAGGUUGAUCGGCCACAUUGGGACUGAGACACGGCCCAGACUCCUACGGGAGGCAGCAGUGGGGAAUAUUGCACAAUGGGGGAAACACUGAUGCAGCAACGCCGCGUGAAGGAUGAAGGUUUUCGGAUUGUAAACUUCUUUAGUCAGGGACGAAUAAAUGACGGUACCUGAAGAAUAAGCCACGGCUAACUACGUGCCAGCAGCCGCGGUAA